This 497-nucleotide ribosomal RNA is filed under the name uncultured bacterium. RNAcentral's name for it is "partial 16S ribosomal RNA". It matches the Rfam family "Bacterial small subunit ribosomal RNA", at positions 28 to 507 of the family's 1533-position model. The record is from RNAcentral.
GAUGAACGCUGGCGGCGUGCCUAAUACAUGCAAGUCGAGCGAACAGACGAGGAGCUUGCUCCUCUGACGUUAGUGGCGGACGGGUGAGUAACACGUGGAUAACCUACCUAUAAGACUGGGAUAACUUCGGGAAACCGGAGCUAAUACCGGAGAAUAUAUUGAACCGCAUGGUUCAAUAGUGAAAGACGGUUUUGCUGUCACUUAUAGAUGGAUCCGCGCCGCAUUAGCUAGUUGGUAAGGUAACGGCUUACCAAGGCAACGAUGCGUAGCCGACCUGAGAGGGUGAUCGGCCACACUGGAACUGGGACACGGUCCAGACUCCUACGGGAGGCAGCAGUAGGGAAUCUUCCGCAGUGGGCGAAAGCCUGACGGAGCAACGCCGCGUGAGUGAUGAAGGUCUUCGGAUCGUAAAGCUCUGUUAUUAGGGAAGAACAAAUGUGUAAGUAACUAUGCACGUCUUGACGGUACCUAAUCAGAAAGCCACGGCUAACUACGUG